CCCUGGUUAGCUCAGUUGGUAGAGCGCUCCACUUGUAAUGGAGAGGUCCCGGGUUCGAUACCUGGACCAGGCG
Ixodes scapularis (black-legged tick) is the source of this 73-nucleotide non-coding RNA. Lineage: Eukaryota; Metazoa; Arthropoda; Arachnida; Ixodida; Ixodidae. The record is from Rfam.